RNAcentral lists this ribosomal RNA (497 nucleotides) under uncultured bacterium. Its description in RNAcentral is "partial 16S ribosomal RNA". It matches the Rfam family "Bacterial small subunit ribosomal RNA", at positions 28 to 507 of the family's 1533-position model. The record is from RNAcentral.
GAUGAACGCUGGCGGCGUGCCUAAUACAUGCAAGUCGAGCGAACAGACGAGGAGCUUGCUCCUCUGACGUUAGCGGCGGACGUGUGAGUAACACGUGUAUAACCUACCUAUAAGACUGGUAUAACUUCGAGAAACCGGAGCUAAUACCGUAUAAUAUAUUGAACCGCAUGGUUCAAUAGUGAAAGACGGUUUUGCUGUCACUUAUAGAUGGAUCCGCGCCGCAUUAGCUAGUUGGUAAGGUAACGGCUUACCAAGGCAACGAUGCGUAGCCGACCUGAGAGGGUGAUCGCCCACAUUGGAACUGAGACACGGUCAAGACUCCUAAGGGAGGCAGCAGUAGGGAAUCUUCCGCAAUGGGCGAAAGCAUGACGGAGCAACGCCGAGUGAGUGAUGACGGUCUUCGGAUCGUAAAACUCUGUUAUUAGGGAAGAACAAAUGUGUAAGUAACUAUGCACGUAUUGACGGUACCUAAUCAGAAAGCAACGGCUAACUACGUG